Molecule: ribosomal RNA, 460 nt
Filed under: uncultured bacterium
Lineage: Bacteria
Description: partial 16S ribosomal RNA
Rfam family: Bacterial small subunit ribosomal RNA
Source: RNAcentral
CCUACGGGAGGCAGCAGUGAGGAAUAUUGGUCAAUGGGCUUACGCCUGAACCAGCCAAGUCGCGUGAGGGAAGACUGCCCUAUGGGUUGUAAACCUCUUUUGUCAGGGAGCAACGCCGGCUACGUGUAGCCGGACUGAGAGUACCUGAAGAAAAAGCAUCGGCUAACUCCGUGCCAGCAGCCGCGGUAAUACGGAGGAUGCGAGCGUUAUCCGGAUUUAUUGGGUGUAAAGGGUGCGUAGGCGGAAUGCGAAGUCAGCGGUAAAAGCGCGGGGCUCAACCUCGCUCCGCCGUUGAUACUGGCGUUCUUGAGUGGGCGAGAGGUAUGCGGAAUGCGUGGUGUAGCGGUGAAAUGCAUAGAUAUAACGCAGAACUCCGAUUGCGAAGGCAGCAUACCGGCGCCCAACUGACGCUGAAGCACGAAAGCGUGGGUAUCGAACAGGAUUAGAUACCCUUGUAGUC